UCUCGUGCCUCUCUGAAGCUGCAGCACGUUUCUGCAGAUGGGCAUAUUUUGGGCUGUUGUAGUUUGGCCAUGUUGGCCACCGUAGUUUCCAGCUGAGUCAUUUAUCAGUUUGAAUAAACACAGCUGACAGUCAGGUGUGAGCCUAACUGAGGGUGUUGUUAAGGUGAAGGAUCAGCGCUGAUAAAUGUUGGACAUGAGAUCAUUUUGUUUCUUCCCUGAAAUUAGUCAUGACCACGAUAACACUGCUUUUUAUCUGGAUCAUAAAAACAAACACCUGAGGAGGACACACCUGAGGAGGACACAGCUGAGGAGGACACAGCUGAGGAGGACACACCUGAGGUGGACGGCAGAGAGACUGUACAGAGUUGUUUCUGAGAAAUGAGAUAAGGUUACAUAACACUGUGACAUAAACACACACAACACUGAUCCCUCUUCUUGUACCUGCCUGCAGAGGAACGUCCAAAUAUGGUCAGACAGGUGUGACGGCAGAUUAACAGAGUUUAUCAUCCAUGCUGCAGAUGGCAGAAUGUUAGAGUCUGACGCCAGAGGAAGAAGAAGAAGAAGAAGAAGGAGAAGACAGAGAAGGAGGACGAUGCUUCAGAGGAGGGCAGUGCUGGUCCGUGAGGCUGGGGAGGAGACGCCAAGAGACUCCACCGCACCCUCAGCAAGCUGGGCUUCAGGGUGGACAUACACAGUGACCUCAGCGAGGACGAGAUCUACGAGCUAAUCUUUAAAGUUUUGACUUGUCAUACCAGAGGAAUUACUGGUCGAACCAACAGCAUUACUGAUGGCUUCGCUCCAACCGAGUGUCAGAGUCAGCAUCCAAGAACCAGGAAUGAGUUUCAGCAUGUGUGCCUCUUUAUAAACUGAGCCGUCCUGAUCAGCUGAUCACAGAGUGGACUAAAACACUGUUAACAACUCGAUCGACAGAUUCUGCAGAGGAAAACCUGUGAGCACGUUCAGUCUGCAGGAAGCUCCUGAAAAUGGCAGCAAUAAGAAGAAGCAAGAGUCUAGAACUAGACCUUAAUUUUUCUAAAUCAACAAAGAAUCUUAUGAGACAUGCAGCUUCAUUCAUCUCAGCGUUUGACGUCAGUGAACCAAGGAUGAGACAGAUUGUAGGAGAGUUUCACAAGAUCGUUGAUGAAGUGAAAAAGAUGCAGGAGAAGACAGAUGAACAGAGAAGAGCAGGAGCUUUUGUUGGAGGAGUAGGAGGAGUACUCGGACUCAUGAUCCUUGCAGCUCCGUUCACUGGGGGGGCGAGCUUAUUGGCAGGACUAGCUGCUGCUGCUGGUGGUGGUGCUGCUGCUGCUGCUGCUGCUGCUGUUGGUGGUGGUGCUGUUGUUGUCGAGGCAAAUUUAACAAAAAAAAAAGAAGAGAACAAAAGUGUACAUAAAGUCGAAGAGCUGGGGAAAGAAUUCAUGGAGAUUGUUGAAUCGCUGAAGAUCAACCUGGAAGAAAUAAAGAUGACAUGUGAAGAGCUGAAGACAACAUCUAUGAAAGUUCAGGCUGCAGUCACUCUGUCAGACAUGGUGGACUUUCAGAGGAUGCUUACAGAAGUGUCUGAGCUGGCCGAGACAAGUGGAGAAGUUUUGGGUGUGGCAGUAGCAGUGAUGGCAGUAAUGCGUGAUCUGUUAGUGCUCAUUGUGAGUGUCUUCAGAGUGACUGCGACUCCUGAAGAGGAUCAGAAGUUAAGAGACUCCAUCAGACAGUCAGCUGAUCAGUGUCAGAAGGUCGUGAAUGGGUUUGAACAGAUGAAGGUGGAACUGAGACACUUCACAAGACGUUGGAGAUACAAGACAAGGUCUCGUUCAAUCACCGUGUGACGUAAUGUCUCAUCAGAUCUGCAGUUUGAGAUGAAGUGUGUAAAUGUGUCCGAUCCUGUGUGUCUGAACGAUCUCCUCAGUGGUGGAAUAUGAUAUUUAGCCUGAAUAUGAUGAUGACUGUACAGAUGCUGGCUUUGAACUGAAGGACUGGUCAGACCACUUUGUGUCAGUCCAAACUCCUCACAGAGGGGCUCCCCCACAGAGGGUUCAAACCAGGAACCGUCUUGCUGUGAGGCAACAAUGCUAACCACUGCUCCACCGUGUCGCAUCGAGUUCAGAAUGAAGUUUAUUAGUCUGAACAUUAAAUAUCUCGUCUUUGGACCGGGUUGGAAUUGGUGUUGUAUGUAUUUUAUAUCUCACAUAAAGUUUAUACACUGUGUUUAUACUGUACCUGUGAUGUCAUCACUUCUACCUGCACUGUUUAUUUUGCUGACUGUAACUGCUGCACAUGUUCAUAUCUUAUCCAUAUUCAUAUCUCCCUCUGACUGUGAAUUCUAUAUACCGUAAAACUUCUAUUAGUAGCUUUGAUUUGCUUAUCACUGAAGUCAACAGGCCUGUAUUUGUUACAGGCCUAAAGUUAAUUCCUUUCACACAAAACUGUUGCUCAGCAAAGAUCAGGAAAUACAAUCAAACUGUUUAUAUGAACCAGUCUGAAUGUUUUAAUUAUGUGUUGUAUCACAACGCUUGUUUGACGGCACUCAAGGAUUUCGGCAUCCGACACAACAAAACUUUAUCCUCUUUAAACAAUAUUUAAUAUUUUUAUGAAACCCCUUUUGAUCUGAGGACACUUACAGACUGGAGGAACAUGAAUAACGUACAGGGUGAUCCAGGAACGGACACAUAUUCUGACUUUAUGACAGCAACAGAGGAAACGUAGGGAGUCACCACUUGUUUUUUCAUCAUGCUGGUAAAUCUGAAAGAAUUUAGUCAUCCUUGGCGCUCAUGGUUUCAGUGAAAUGAACUCAGCCAAGCUAACGAUGUGUAGCAUCUCCAUACUGACAAAAAUUAAAUAUGUAUGCUUGCAUGUGUGAUCUAAACAGAUAACCAACAUUAGCUCAAGUAGGUAGCCAAAAAAUGUGGUUUAUACAUCCAAAGAACUUUUGUCAACAAGAACUGCUGGCAGCCAGACCAGGCCUCUAAUUGAGACAGGCCUUUAUUUGUCUAAACGUGUAGCCACACCGGGCUGUGAAAGGGUCUGGGCAUUUAGUAAGUUUUACGGUAUUGUAUAUAUUGUUUAAUAUUUCAUUAUCUCAGUACAUGGACUCUUUGCAGUGACAUUAAAGUUGAAUUUAAUCUCAUAUUCAGUGUUGAUCUCAGCUUCACCAUGUACACCUGAACUAAUCAAUACUUUUAUAUUAAUGAUGGAUCAGAUGACUGUGUGUGGUCAUGUGAAAUGUUUCACUCACAGAGACAAACUCAGAUAAUUAACAUGUUGUAGCAUAUUUUAUUUGUGUGUUUAUGGUGUUCCCCAAGGCUCCAUUUUAGGCCCAAUUAUAUUUUCACUAUACAUGCUUCCAUUAGGCUCUAUACUAAGGAAAUACAAUAUGUCUUAUCACUGUUAUGCAGAUGAUUCCCAGUUAUACCUCCCUUUGAAACCAUCAGAUCCUUGCAGCAUUAAUUCACUAUAACUCUGUAUUAAUGACAUAAAAUCUUGGAUGGCAUGAAGCUUUCGCCAGCUGAACCAUGACAAAACUGAGGUCCUCACCUUUGGCCUUACAGACACUUCUGCCUCUGUUACCAGUGCUCUUGGUCCUCUGUCUUCACGUUUAAAAUCUCACAUAAAGAAUCUUGGUGUCAUCUGACGCUGGUCAAAAAAGUUAAAGUUAAAAACAGAGGUGACAGAGCUUUUUCAGUUGUUGGUCCGAAACUGUGGAGCAGCCUGCCACAAACAGUUAGAUCCUCACCCUCUUUAAAUACAUUCAAAGCCCGGCUAAAAUCCCAUCUCUUUGCCUUAGCUUUUGGUGAUUCAUCAUGAGAACAUAUUGUUUGAUAUUCAUCUUUUUCACUGAAUUUGCUCAAGACGAACUCUACUGUCUUGGUUGAUUAUUUUUCUUGUUGUGCAUAAUUGUAUCCAUUGUAAAGCCCUUUGGUCAAUGAUUGUUGUUUUUAAAUGUGCUCUAUAAUUAAAGUUGACUUGACUUUA
Epinephelus lanceolatus (giant grouper) is the source of this 3966-nucleotide non-coding RNA. The record is from RefSeq and is a predicted model, not a curated record. NCBI's taxonomy places the organism in Eukaryota, Metazoa, Chordata, Actinopteri, Perciformes, Serranidae.